This 253-nucleotide ribosomal RNA is filed under the name uncultured bacterium. Its description in RNAcentral is "partial 16S ribosomal RNA". It matches the Rfam family "Bacterial small subunit ribosomal RNA", at positions 524 to 776 of the family's 1533-position model. The record is from RNAcentral.
UACGGAAGGGGCAAGCGUUGUUCGGAAUCAUUGGGCGUAAAGGGUGCGUAGGCGGCCGCGCAAGUCUGGCGUGAAAGCCCCGGGCUCAGCCCGGGAAGGGCGCUCGAAACGGCGCGGCUCGAGUGCCGGAGGGGAGAGUGGAAUUCCUGGUGUAGCGGUGAAAUGCGUAGAUAUCAGGAGGAAUACCGGUGGCGAAAGCGACUCUCUGGACGGCAACUGACGCUGAGGCACGAAAGCGUGGGGAGCAAACAGG